Long non-coding RNA from Raphanus sativus (radish), 10683 nucleotides. RefSeq lists it as uncharacterized. The record is from RefSeq and is a predicted model, not a curated record. The transcript has 41 exons. NCBI's taxonomy places the organism in Eukaryota, Viridiplantae, Streptophyta, Magnoliopsida, Brassicales, Brassicaceae.
UGAUUAUUUGGCGUCUUUUGUGAUUUUGAUUUUAUUUCGAAAAUUGAACCGUUAAACUAAAACGGUCCUAUUUAACACCGCCAAUAAUAUUGCUCCGGCAAAUCCUCAAUUAGAAAAUCUAGGGAUUCACCCAACGUGAUCGCAUCUCCAGUUUCCUGGAAUUUGGAAGCGAGACGAUGAGCGACAUCACAGGUGCUUGAUACGGCGUCGUCGAGCGAAGUCAAAGGAGGAUCCGACGCCGCUCACCUCUCAGUUCGAAUCCGCCGCCGGCAAACAAGUCCCCAACUUCGACUAUAUCGCCACCGUUUCUCAAACCAAGUCACAGGCCGCAACAAUCGUCGCCAACGAUUUCCGUCAAAAAGUAUUCCGAGUACAGGUAAGACUCUUGGGCGUCUAUCAAGAAAACUAAAGUACUGUCCAUCAACAUUGCCUCCACAUGGAUCAUCUCUUUUGUCUGAGAUCGGGCGUUUACGCUCUCUGUUAUACUAUCUCUGCCACCAUGAACAGAUCAGAUCAGCUCAGUCUUAAUACAUUUUAGGUAAUAUAUAUGUACUGUUGGAGCAAUCGAAUGAAGCCAGAAUUAUGUAUACGUUUGGGGGAAUGAGGCGAGAGUUUUCACUUUCAGAUAAGUUCAGAUACGUUCUCUGAAGAUAAUUUUGUAUUGUAAGCUUUUGGCGUGUGCUCAAAUCAGAAGUGCAUAAUGUAUAUGCUUAUUUGCAGAUCCAGCACAAAUGGAGCUCUUAUAUGGUCUGUGAGACAGCAUCUUUAAGUUUCUUGAAGUUAAGUCUGUGUCUCAUGUAUCUGCCUUCAAUCUUUCUUCUGCUUAGUCUUUUGUUUUUGAUCUUAUAGUUAUAAAUUUCGAGCCUUUUGGCAUGUUCUCAAGCGUGUUGUUCUCAAGUUUGAUCCACGUAUACAAUGUCGUAUUCCUCAGAUUUUGUUUUGCCUUUCAGGACCAUCGCAAGUGGAACUCUAAUAUGGCUAAGAUAAAACCACGAUACACUUUGCCCUUAACAACACGGAAAAAACAAAAUCCAGUUCUGGCAGGUUUGGCUGGUUUGCACCCUUUGCCCUUAACAGAUAAUUAAGUUGAUGUAUCUCUCAUAUUGUCAGGUCCUUUAAGAACAGCAGUUUAUAGUCUGGAGAAAGUUGUGUAUGCCUUUAUGUGUUCUCUAAUCGCAAUGGAAGACAACCUCUAGAACUGCAUCUUCUAGUUUCCUAAGUUUUAAAUAUCUUUUUUUUCCAGAGACCAUUCUGUUGAUGUCAAGACCAUUUCUGCAUCUUAAUCCUUCUGCCAGAUAUGUUGCCCUUCCUCUUUUUAAUAUGCUUUGUCGAAUGAAAUUACAUUCUCAGUAUUUCACCUGCACAUGCAUAUUUCGUUCUCUAUGUGAACCUUUGAAAACUAAUUUGUAGAAAAGUGCUUGAUUACGAUUAUUUUAAAUUGUAAACUUUUGGUGUGUCCUCAGAUACUGUAUGCGCUAAUGGAGCUCUAAAAUGUCUCUGAUACAACAUCUGGAAUUCCAUUUUCAAGUUUCCUUUUGUUUCAUUGAGUCUUAUGUAUUUGCGUUAAACCACUACACUGUCGUUUUGCCUAUUUCAGGUCCAUCGCAAAUGGUGGGCUAUGAGAAAAGCUCUAGAGUGUCAUCUUCUUGUUUCUGAACAGAUUUAUAGUUAGAAAAUGCUCUUCUAUUAAGUGUUUCGAAGUGACGAAAAGGCUUUACGACCAUCAACACGAUGCUCGACACAGUGACUACAUCUUUAACCUUGAAGUUAAGUCUGUCUCCCAUCUAUGAACAUUAUUUUUUGCUACUUCUUCAUUCUGAUCCCGUUUCUAUCUAAAUAUUAUAUUUGACUGUUUUAAUUAUUCAGGUCUGAGAUCGGGCGUUUACUCUCUCUGCUACCAUGAAACAGGUUCAUCAUUUUUAUGCAUGUCUCAUUCUAUCUCUGCCACCAUGAAGAGAUCCAGCACAAAUGGUGUCUAAUAUGGUCUGUGAGACAACAUCUUUAAGUUUCUUGAAGUUAAGUCUGUGUCCCAUGUAUCUGUCUUCAAUCUUUCUUCUGCAUAGUCUUUUGUUUUUCAUUUUAUGGUUAUAAAUUUUAGCUUUUGGCAUGUUCUCAAGUCUAAUUUGAGAUUAUCUCAGAUUUUCUUUCGCCUAUUUCAGGUCCGUGAAUCCAUGAUGUAUCAGGUCCAUCGCAAGUGGAGCUCUAAUAUGCAUGAAGAAUCCACGAUGUAUGAGAGAUUAAGUAAUGGAUAUACAUGCUCUACUUAGAACCUUUUGGCAUGGACAAAAGUAAUGGAUAUACAUGCUCUACUCGGAUAUAAAUUCAAGUGGAGCUCUAAUGAUCAUUAACAUUUGCAUCUUUUGUCCUUAACAGGUAAUUAAGUUAUUUAUAUCAAUCAUUCAACAUGUACAUGCUCUACUUAGAACUGAUACUCCACCCCUGCAUCAAAACUGAAUGAUUCGCCUUACAAGUCUUAAUGUCUCUUGGGUUUAUCAUGCAUGUUCUGGAAAUCGUUGGAGAAACCUGGCUUGGAACCCCGCCUAAGCCUCUGCAAACACCUAGUCCUUUAAGAACAGCAGUCCAUAGUCUGGAGAAAAAGGCAUAAAACGGUUACAGAGAAAAGCACAAACUUGUCAAUGCCUUUAUAUGUUCUCUAAUCGCUUAUGUUUAGCAGUUUGGAAGACAACCUCUAGAACUGCAUCUUCUAGUUUCCUAAGUUUUAAAUCUCUUGUCUUUUCCAGAAACAUGUACCUUUCGGAGACCAUUGUGUUGAUGUCAAGACCGUUUCUGCAUCUUAGUCCUUCUGCCAGAUAUGUUGCCCUUCCUCUUUUUAAUGUGCUUUGUCGAAUGAAAUUACAUUCUCUGUAUUUCUUCUGCACAUGCAUAUUUCGUUCUCUAUGUGAACCAUUACAUUUGAAAACUAAUACAAUUAUUUCUGAUUUUUAAGGUAUGACAUCACUUUAGAGGGCUAUAUUACUCAGCUGGAGACGUCAGACAUGUGAAGCUUGAGAUUGGCCGCUCGGACUAAGCUGGUGACAGAGAGCAAGAACUGAACCCCGCACUAUAUUUCAAACCAUUGUAGAACAGGUGGAGACUCUUGAGCGUCUUUUGAGGAAACUAGUUCGUCAACAUCGCCUCCACAUGGAGCAUCUCUUUUGUGAAGGCCUAUGAUCAUUAUGUUUUCGUUGCUUCUUCAUUCUGAUCUCGUUCGAAUCUCAUUCGUGAUCCUGAUCCAAAUUUGAAGAUAAGUUCACUGCCUGUGGAGUUUCUCUUUGACGAUGACUAUAAGCUUUUGAUGUGUUCUCAAAUCAGAAGCUCAUAAUGUAUAUGCUUAUCUGCAGAUUCAGCACAAAUGGAGCUCUAAAAUGUCUGUGAGAUAACAUCUUCAAGUUUCUUGAAGUUAAGUCUGUAUCCCAUGUAUCCUCAAUCUUUCUUCUGCUUAGUCUUUUUGUUUUUGAUUUUAUAUUUAUAAAUUUCGAGCCUUUUGGCAUGUUCUCAAGUUUGAUCCACGUAUACAAUGUCGUAUCUCUCAGAUUUCGUUCUCUCUAUUUCAAGUCCAUCGCAAGUGCAGCUCUAAUAUGGCUAAGAUACAACCACGAUGUAGUCUUUCUAUCAAGUUAACAACACGGAAAAAGCAAAAUCCAGUUGUGGCAGGUCUUAAUGUCCAAGUUACUAUACACAUCAAAUAUGAUAUCACCUUACAUUCAACACAUGUCUGUUAGGUUUAUCAUGCAUUUUCUGGUAACACUCUCUUCCUUGCUUACUUAACUUCCUUAUUUACUAGACUUGUUUAACUUCUUUAUUCCUUACUCUGAACUAACCUUCUAGCUUAAUAUAUUUAGAUCUUCUCGGCUACUCGUUGAAAGUAAUACAGGUAGAGAUUCUUGAGCCUCUCUCAAGGAAACUAAAGUCCUAGUUCAACAACAUUGCCUCCACAUGGAUCAUCUCUUUUGGUCUGAUAUCAGGCAUUUACUUGCAAUGCAACCAGUCACUGAACAAGGAACCUUAUGAGUUCUCUGGCACCAUGAAACAGGACAUGUUCAGUAUUAGAAUCUCUAGUUCAGAUGGCAGGAAAUUUGACGAAUUAAGUGUUGAGUUAAUUACAAAGAAAAUAAUUAUAUAAGGUAUCACUUAACCAUUCAUGAAGGACGUUGUGAAAAUGAUUAAUGAUCAUCUUGAUUAUUCUAACAGUUUUAGUGAAAAUGAGUAUAUCAGAUCAGGUACUACGGUCUUAAGAACGUUCUGCCUAUUUCAGAUCCAUCGCAAGUGGAGCUCUAAUAUGGCUACGAAACAACCACGAUACCAUGUAAAUAAAUUAUUUAUAUUCGUUUAGGUGGAAAGGAAAAACUGAACUACAGAUACUCCAACCCUGCAUCAAAACUGAAUGUUUAUCAUGCAUUUUCUGGAAACAUUUGGAGAAACCUGGCUUGGAACCCCGCCUUAAGUCUCUGCAAACCACUAGUCCUUUAAGAACACUAGUCCAUACUCUGGAGAAAAAUGCAUAAAACGGCUACAGAGCAAGGCACACAAACUGUAGAAAAGAUAUAGUCACGAAUGAAGCUUCCAGAUAUCAUUCAGGGAACUACAGAGUAAUCUUACCAAACUUUUAACAACAGAUUCCAUAGUCUGAUGUGGUGUAUCUCAGAGAAUGUUAGAUAGGUCUGAGAUCAGGGGUUUACUUGCAACCAGUCUCUAAACCAAGAACCUUAUGAGCUUUCUGGCACAAUGAAACAGUUCAGGUCAAGGGCGACAGGCAGUUCAAUCCAUAGUGGUUGUCGUGAUCCUGAUCCAAAUUUGAAGAUAAGUUCACUGCCUGUGGAGUUUCUCUUUGACGAUGAUUAUGUAUUGUAAGCUUUUGAUGUGUUUUCAAAUCAGAAGCUCAUAAUGUAUAUGCUUAUAUGCUUAUCUGCAGACUUAACACGUUUUAAAUAAAUAAAUACAUUAUUGGAGAAAACGAAUGAAGCCAGACAAAAGUUAAAUUGAUUUAUAUCUGCUGGAUUCCUUUAAAAUUUGUUUAUUAUAUAUGCAUUUGGGGGAAUGUGCAGUUCAGGUCAAGGGCGACAGGCAGUUCAAUCCAUAGUGGUUGUCGUGAUCCUGAUCCAAAUUUGAAGAUAAGUUCACUGCCUGUGGAGUUUCUCUUUGACGAUGAUUAUGUAUUGUAAGCUUUUGAUGUGUUUUCAAAUCAGAAGCUCAUAAUGUAUAUGCUUAUCUGCAGACUCAGCACAAAUGGAGCUCUAAAAUGUCUGUGAGAUACAUCUUCAAGUUUCUUGAAGUUAAGUCUGUAUCCCAUGUAUCUUCAAUCUUUCUUCUGGCAUGUUUCUAUCUUUUGGUUUUGAUUUUAUAGUUAUAAAUUCGAGCUUUUGGCAUGUUCUCAAGUUUGAUAUAUCCACGUAUACAAUGUCGUAUCUCUCAGAUUUCGUUUUCUCUAUUUCAAGUCCAUCGCAAGUGGAGCUCUAAUAUGGCUAAGAUACAACCACGAUAUAAUCUUUCUGUCGAGUUAACAACACUGAAAAGCAAAAUCCAGUUGUGGCAGAUUCGCACUCUUUUGUCCUAAACAGGUAAUUAGGUUUUUAUAUCAGUCAUUCAACAUAUACAUGCUCUACUUAGAACUGAUCAUGUAGCAUUUGGUUAAGUGAAAAAGAAAACCUGAACUACAGAUACCACUCUAUCAAAACUGAAUGUAAGAUUUACAGAUCUUACUGUGCAAGUUACUAUCACCCUACAUUCAAAACCUGUCUCUUAGGUUUAUCAUGCAUUUUCUGGAAACACUCUCUUCCUUAGUUACUAGACUUGUUUAACUUCUUUAUUCCUUACUCUGAACUAACCCUCUAGCUUAAUAUAUUUAGAUACUUCUCGGUUACUCGUUGAAAGUAAUACAGGUGGAGACUCUUGAGCGUCUGUCAAGGAAACUAAAGUCCUAGCUCAUCAACAUUGCCUCCACAUGGAUCAUCUCUUUUGUGAAGGCCUAUGUUCAUUAUUUCAUUACUUCUUCAUUCUAAUCUCGUUUGUAUCUAAAUAUUUUAUUUAACUGUUUUAAUUAUUCAGGGUCUGAGAUCAGGCGUUUACUCUCUCUGCUACCAUGAAACAGGUUAACCAUUUUAUGCAUGUCUCAUACUCUCUCUGCCACCAUGAACAGAUCAGAUCAGCUCAGUCUUAAUACAUUUUUGAUAAUAUAUGUAUUGUUGGAGCAAUCGAAUGACGCCAGAAAAUGUUAAAUUGAUGUUAUAUGUUUGGAAGGAUGUGCAUUUCAGGUCAAAGGCGAGACUCGGUUCACUUUACUAAAAGUUUAGAUAAGUUCCCUGUCUGUUGAAUUGCUCUUUAACGAUGAUUACUUAUUGUAAGCUUUUGGCGUGUUCUGAAAUAAAAAGCUCAUAAUGUAUAUAUGCUUAUUUGCAGAUUCAGCACAAAUAGAGCUCUAAUGGGCUGUGAGAUAACCUCUGGAAUUCUAUCUUCAAGUUUAUUGAAGUUAAGUCUGUGUACCAUGUGUCUGUCUUCAAUCUUUUCUUAUGCUUAGUCUUUUGUUCUUGAUUUUAUAGUUGUAGAUUUCGAGCUUUUGGUGCUUUUCCUAUUUCAGGUCAGCGCAAAUGGAGCUCUAGUGUGGCUAAGAUACAACCACUAUUCCGCCAGCCUCGACUUAGUCUGUAUUUAACCCCAUCCUCCGGUUCUGAAAAACUGGACCACAUCUUUAACCUUUCUCAGUUGAAGGAAGCUGGGAGCAAAACGAAACAUAAGCAGCAAUGCAGGUCACUCGCCAGUGGAAUUAUACAAGGCAUGAGAAACAACCUCAUCUUACAGUUCUGUGAAAAAAGUAUAAAAAAAGAUAGAUACACUCAGAAAGUAGUACAGGUGGAGAGCGUCUAUAAAGUAGUACACUCAGAAAGUAGUAAAGAUGGAGAGCCUCCAGAUGGAUCAUCUCUUUUGUGAGGCCUAUGAUCAUUCUGUUUCUUUACUUCUUCAUUCUGAUCUCUUUUGUAUUUGACUGUUUUAAUUAUUCAGGGUCUGAGAUCAGGCGUUUACUUGCACCCAGUCUCUGAACCAAGAACCUUAUGAGUUCUCUGGCUACAUGAAACAUGUUAAGAUUUUUAUGAACUAGAAGUCAGAAAGUUCAUGUUUACUUGCUUAGCUUUUGCAAAACAAGUUCAUUAUAUGAAUCUCCAACGAAACUAGGUCGGAUGGCAGAAAAUUUUUAAGUUCUUAUGUUUAAUUAAUUGACAUAGUCACUCUUUGUCCACAAACAAGGAAUAACUUUGACCGAGAAAACAACAUACUGCAUUGUGUACACAAUUUGUCUAUUUCAGGUACACUGCUAAUGGAGAUCUAAAGUGUUUGGAAGAAAUCUCUGGAAUUCCAUCUUCAGGUCCAUUGCAAAUGGAGCUCUUUAAUGGCUAAGAAAAAACCAUUACAGUGUCAUCUUCUUGUUUCUGAAUCAAAUCCUUCUACCAGAAAAUUCUUUUCUUGCAAGUAUAUAGAAGGGGCUGAAUGCUCUUCCUGUAGUGUCAAGGACUCGACGCAGUCUGCAUUUCUGAAGAAGGGAACGUUGCUCAGCAGAAGGAUGCCUGGCAGAAAAACAAAAGAGAAUCAGGUCCAUCACAAAUGGCUAAGAUUCUUGUUCAUGAAGUUUAAUAUUCUGUCAGUAGUAGAAAAUAAGCUUUUGCUACGUUUUCAAAUCAGAAACAUGUAUAUAGAAUCGUACCUUUCAGAGAGACAGCCUUUGGAGUGUCGGCUUCUAGUUUCUGAAGUUCAAUCUUUCUGCCAGAUAUGUUGUCUUCUCUCUUUUUAAUAUGCUUGGUAGAAUGAAAUUUCGUUCUCUAUGUGAAAUAAUCAUAAUAGUUUAUUUCUGACGUUUUAGGUAUGACAUCACUUUGGAAGGUUAUAUUUGGAUAUGAGAAAGUAUUAGCUCGAGACGCCAAACGUAAGAAGCUUGAGGUAACAACUUGACAAAAGGAAGAUUCACCUGUGGCAGCAGUGACCAAUACUGAGCAAUGACAUUUGGCUGAUUUGCACCUCCUUUCUUUACACUCAUCUCAUCAAUCUCGCCACCGCUUCUCAAGCCAAGUUUCAGGCCGCAGCAAUCGUCGGCAACGAUUUCCGUCAAAAGGGUUCCGAGUACAGGUGGAGACUCUUGAGCGUCUAUCAAGAAAACUAAAGUACUGUUCAUCAACAUUGCCUCCACAUGGAUCAUCUCUUUUGUGAAGGCCUAUGAACAUUCUUUUUCGCUACUUCUUCAUUCUGAUCCUGUUUCUAUCUAAAUAUUAUAUUUGACUGUUUUAAUUAUUCAGGUCUGAGAUCAGGCGUUUACUCUCUCUGCUACCAUGAAACAGGUUCAUCAUUUUAUGCAUGUCUCAUACUAUCUCUGACACCAUGAACAGGCCGUCUUUUUGUUUUUAAUAACAGCUCAGCUCAUUCUUAAUACGUUCUAGAUAAUAUUAUGUAUUGUGGGAGCAAUCGAAUAAAGCCAGAUAAAAGUUAAAUUGAUGUAUAUGUUUGGCGGAAUGAGGCGAGAGUCAGUUGAAAGAAGCCUCAGAGGAAAACAAAACAGAUUCAGGUCCAUCACAAAUGGCUAAGAUUCUCGUUCAUGAAGUUCAACAUUCUGUCAGCUAUGUUUCUUCCCUACUUUUAUUAUGCUUAGUCAUUUGAUUUUGCGCUUGUAGUUUUAAGUUGCAUUCUCCUUCUUUCACCUGCAGUAGUAAAAUUAAGAUUUUGUUAUGUACUGAAAUCAGAAACAUGUAUAUAAUGUCCUACCUUUCAGAGACCGUUCUGUUGAUGUCAAGUCCACCGCAAAGGGAGUCCUAAAAGUUUAUGAUACUCAGCUGGAGACGUCAGACAUAUGAAGCUUGAGAUAGGCCACUCGGACUAAGCUGGUGACAGAGAGCGAGAACUGAACCCCGCACUAUAUUUCAAACCAUUGAGUAUAACAGGUGGAGACUCUUGAGCGUCUUUUGAGGAAACUAGUUCGUCAACAUCGCCUCCACAAGUAGCAUCUCUUUUGUAAAGGCCUAUGAUCAUUAUGUUUUUGUUGCUUCUUCAUUCUGAUCUCGUCCGAAUCUAAACAUUGUAUUUGACUGUUUUAAUGAUUCAUAGUAGCUGUCGCGAUCCUGAUCCAAAUUUGAAGAUAAGUUCACUGCCUGUGGUGUUUCUCUUUGAUGAUGAUUAUAAGCGUUUGAUUUGUUCUCAAAUCAGAAGCUCAUAAUGUAUAUGCUUAUCUGCAGAUUCGGCACAAAUGGAGCUCUAAAAUGUCUGUGAGAUAACAUCUUCAAGUUUCUUGAAGUUAAGUCUGUAUCCCAUGUAUCUUCAAUAUUUCUUCAGCUUAGUCUUUUUGUUUUUUUUAUUUUAUAGUUAUAAAUUCGGAGCCUUUUGGCAUGUUCUCAAGUUUGAUCCACGUAUACAAUGUCGUAUCUCUCAGAUUUCGUUCUCUCUAUUUCAAGUCCAUCGCAAGUGGAGCACUAAUAUGGCUAAGAUACAACCACGAUAUAAUCUUUCUGUCAAGUUAACAACACGGAAAAAGCAAAAUCCAGUUGUGGCAGGUUCGCACUCUUUUGUACUAAAUAGGUCUUAGUGUCCAAGUUAAUAUACCAAUCAAAUAUGAUAUCACCUUACAUUCAAAACAUGUCUCUUAGGUUUAUCAUGCAUUUCCGGUAACACUCUCUUCCUUGCUUACUUAACUUCCUUAUUUACUAGACUUGUUUAACUUCUUUAUUCCUUACUCUGAAGUAACCUUCUAGCUUAAUAUAUUUAGAUCUUCUCGGCUACUCGUUGAAAGUAAUACAGGUAGAGAUUCUUGAGCCUCUGGCAAGGAAACUAAAGUCCUAGUUCAACAACAUUGCCUCCACAUGGAUCAUCUCUUUUGGUCUGAGAUCAGGCAUUUACUUGCAAUGCAACCAGUCACUGAACAAGGAACCUUAUGAGUUCUCCUGGCACCAUGAAACAGGACAUGUUCAGUAUUAGAAUCUCUAGUUCAGAUGGUAGGAAAUUUGAUGAAUUACGUGUUGAGUUAAUUACAAAGAAAAUAAUUAUAUAAGUUUUAGUGAAAAUGAGUAUAUCAGAUCAGGUCAAGGCCGACAGUCAGUUCACGUCACAGUAGUUGUCGUGAUUGCGUUAGCCCUGCAUGUGGAGUUGAUCUUUGACAAUGAUUUUUUAUUGUCCAUCGCAAGUGGAGCUCUAAUAUGGCUACGAAACAACCACGAUACCGUGUCAUCUUCUUGUUUCUAAAUCAAAUCCCCUGUCGGGUUAACACCUUUCAGCUGGUUUGCUCUCUUUUGUCCUUAACAGGUCUCUUAAUGUCCAAGUUACUAUACCAAUCAAAUAUGGUAUCGCUUGACAUUCAAAACCUUUCUCUUAGGUUUAUCAUGCACUUUCUGGAAACCUUUGGAGAAACCUGGCUUGGAACCCCGCCUUAAGUCCUUUAAGAACACCAGUCCAUACUCUGGAGAAAAAUGCAUAAAACGGCUACAGAGCAAGGGACACAAAAUUAUAGAAAAGAUAUAGUCACGAAUGAAGCUUCUAGAUAUCAUUCAGGGAACUACGGAGUAAUCUUACCAAACUUUUAAAUAUGUUCAAUCAUUUUCUUUUGGUCUUUUGAUUUUGCUUGUAUAAAUUGAUAUUCUCUUUGUUUUCCUCUGCAGCAACAGAUUCCAUAGUCUGAUGUGGUGUAUCUCAGAGAAUGUUAGAUAAUUCUCACAAUCA